AUGUUCCAUACUAAAGGAUUCGGGUCCAUAACCACGAGUUCCAGUGCACUAGAUCUUGUAGCACUUAGCAACGAAGCCCUAUCCAUUAGUAUUCCACAUAAGAAAUCCAUUCUAGAAAAAAAUACAAUUAGAUUAGAUCUUCAUAGACAAACUUGGGGUUUGCGAGCCAAGGUAAGAUUGGCUCGGGAUCAUGGGACCCUUUUCUAUCAGAUAGGAGGGGCUCUUGUACAAAAUAGACUUACUAAGUAA
This 249-nucleotide ribosomal RNA is filed under the name Triticum aestivum (bread wheat). Its description in RNAcentral is "partial small subunit ribosomal RNA". Lineage: Eukaryota; Viridiplantae; Streptophyta; Magnoliopsida; Poales; Poaceae. The record is from RNAcentral.